CCUAAGGAUUAGUUUUUAGGUAGUACCUGCCCAGUGAAUAUUUAACGGCCGCGGUAAUUUGACCGUGCUAAGGUAGCAUAAUCAUUUGUCUUUUAAUUGAAGACUGGAAUGAAAGGUUUAACAAGAAAUUUGCUGUCUUAAUAAAAUAAAUUGAACUUUAUUUUUUAGUGAAAAAGCUAAAAUAGUUUUGUGGGACGAUAAGACCCUAUAGAUCUUUAUUAUUAAAAGUGGUUAACUUUUGGAUAUAAUUUUAUUGGGGCGAUAAUAAGAAAGAAAUAUCUCUUGAAACUUAAAUAUACUAAUUGGUAAAUGAAUUUGUGAUCCUAGAGGAUAGAAUAUUAGAAUAAGUUACCUUAGGGAUAACAGCGUAAUAUUUUUAUAGAGUCCUUAUCGAAAAAAAUGUUUGCGACCUCGAUGUU
Molecule: ribosomal RNA, 419 nt
Filed under: Lynceus tatei
Lineage: Eukaryota; Metazoa; Arthropoda; Branchiopoda; Diplostraca; Lynceidae
Description: partial 16S ribosomal RNA
Rfam family: Bacterial large subunit ribosomal RNA
Source: RNAcentral